UCUCAAUGAUGAUCAACACUGAUUAGAUGUCCGAUUCAAUCCAUUCAAAAACCAUGGGGACGAAAUGAGGCAUUUGUCUGAGAGAA
Triticum aestivum (bread wheat) is the source of this 86-nucleotide non-coding RNA. NCBI's taxonomy places the organism in Eukaryota, Viridiplantae, Streptophyta, Magnoliopsida, Poales, Poaceae. The record is from Rfam.